AGAUAAGCCCAGAGCCGUUUGGAGCCUUUGAGUGGAAGGGGUCCGAGCUGAAGUACAUGCCUUGGUAGGAAGCCGAAUAAGGAGACAGGGGUAGAUCUGGCUCUUCCUGGGGCAGGAAAUGGAUGGAAAUUAGAUUCUGAUUGGCUGGUAGUCUAAGCUUGUCUGACCCUGAAGCUGCCCUUGGCUGCAAGUUGAUGUGACUCAAGCUCCCUCAGCGCACAUCUUCAGGUGUUUAUGUUACCACCUCCAAGGUUUCCAGCCACUGCACCCCAGGACACCGACCCCAGGCAGAAAUCCACGCAGAAAACAUCAAAGCAAACCCAGCAGAAGGAUUCAACUCGAACUUUUCCAAGCGAGAGAGGCACACCUAUUACAGAACUCACCCAUUUGAAUAGCCUGCCACCUUUCCCACAAGGUCUUAUAAAUAAAGCUGGACGAUCUUGCAGUGAAUUGGCUCAGUAUCAGUUUUUGGUCGUUGCAUUAAAAUCCUCCUCAACUCCCAGAAAUGGAGACCAGAACAGCCACAGAGCAAAACUCCGAGAAAGCCCGAAAGGGGUGAGAAAAGUCCUUUACAGACUCUGAAUGGCUUCCUAUAGGUCGUCCCCAUAGAUAAGUUGGUCUUUUCUGCUUCUCCUACUAUUUAAGAUUCCUUGGGGGUUCCACUUCUGUGUUACACGACACAGGGCAUGUGAACGCAACCAUACUUCAGCUUUGGUCACACUGGACAUUUAAACUCUCCCCAAAUGCCCCCCAAAGAAGAGAUGGAGCCCGUGACCUCUCACUGCCUGCAAUCUGCUAUAAUGCAACCAGCUUCCUCCAGAAACCCUUCUUUUACAGAAUUAUGUGUCAUCUGCCAGUUAAGGAGUCUGCUGGAAAAUGUAUGCAGAUUCCUGGCAAUGCGUUUCCAACGAAAGUUAAGUAUCUUCACGGACAGAACGAAAAAGCGAAAGACACAUCAUUACUUCUCCCUCCAGUGGCUUUUACAUAGUGAUUGCUCCAGCCGUACUUCAACCUCUAUUUCAUAAGUGAAAUCUGAACUGCCCCCAAAUCAUCUUUAACCCUAAACGCAAACCAGACUUUACACCCACUGUCUGGGAUGCCAAGGGAACAAAUAUUCUAGAAAGCAGAAUUGUGCAUGGGAGGAUCAGCAUGCUGAGAUGCUUCAUUGGACCAAGAACCAUAUUUAGAUGAUUAAGCCCGAAGACUGGGGCUUCUUACCAAAGAAAGGCAACAGGCCUGAGCUCAAAUGAAGAGACUCUUGUUUUUUUUUUUUAAAUGGCAGGUAGAUUAUAUCAGUGCAACUCAAGACCGCUCCCAAAUGAAAAACUAACAGAGCAAUUACUAAAACAAAAUAGAAGUUACCUUUCAUGUUUACAAGCUGUAAGACACAAACCGUCCUCUCCCAGCCAUAAUGGAGCCUUUAUUAACGAGGAAUAAGAAGCACCUGGGGGAAAAAAACUGCUACCGUAUUAAUUAUAAAUAAGGAUCCCUUAAAUCCUAGGUCCUUCUGGGUGCUAUGAUGCAAUGAAAAGAGUCUGACCUCUCUACCCUGUUCCUACAGACUUUGAAAGAAGCUUUUCAAGUAAAUCUAGGCACAAAGGCAGUAACUGGCAAGUAAUACGGUGCCAAGUAGGGAAUGAUAAUGACAUCAAGCAAGAGUCAGUCGGUCCGUCUCAGGAAAUAAACCUGAAACCAUCUCUAGAAUAAAUAAAUAAAUAAAUAAAUAAAUAAA
RNAcentral lists this long non-coding RNA (1732 nucleotides) under Sus scrofa (pig). RNAcentral describes it as "lncRNA (ENSSSCG00035079201.1)". Lineage: Eukaryota; Metazoa; Chordata; Mammalia; Artiodactyla; Suidae. The record is from RNAcentral.